CUCAUUUAUUGUGCUGCAUUUAAAAACGGAUUUUAGAUCCACCUUUAUUUGGGUAUCCUCUGAUAGCUCUAACAACGCUAUGGUUAACCAAAUUUAAUUUAAAAACUUACAAGCUCAAUUUUAUGUUUUGAAAUUGACACAGAGCAUUAGGUUGUAAAUUGAAAAAAGUACAAUACUGCUUAUAAUAAUAACUGUUUUUUUAUUUUAUAGAUACAUCUGUCGUUAAAAUUAUUUAAACUAUUCCACAGCCACAUGCACCUUUACAUCAACUACUAUUUUUGAUGUACUUAGUCUAAUUAGUUGUUGAAUUUUCCUUGAUAUUAACAGUAGCAACACUUAUUUUGAUAACCUUCUUAAUGGUUCCAAGAAAAGGUUCUUUUUUUCUUCUAUUGUUGGCACAGUUUUUUCUCUUUUUGGAAUCAAUUCAGUUUUGGCUUGCCCAGCACCAGCCACCAGAGAAGUCUCUAACCACCACAGUUUCAAAUGGUGCACAUUUACUAGAUAUAAAACUUAAAUUAAAACUUCAAAGAUAAUAAAAGGUAUUAGAUGUUUAAAAAAAUAAAUAAAAUCUGUUUACUUCAACAUUUAAAUGUCUAAUUGAACUGUUAGCUAUUGUUAAUAUUCUUUUCUCUGGUAUAUGUCUACUAUCGUUGCGCUUUGCUAUCCAUUUGACUGCAUCUUCAUAAGAAUCUUAAGUACUUAUAUGAAAAGAUAAAUCUCUAUGGUCUCAUACCAAUCGUUAAAAUUAUGUAGGUAACGGAUCCGUUCUUUAAGUAAGUAAAUAAGAAAGAGAAGAAAUAACUGUUAAACAAUUUCUCUGUUUUGGGCGGAAAUAAUACCCAAUUUAUAAAAUAGAAAUAUAUUGAACCGAGCGAGAGAGAAGCGCUGGUUAAUACUUGUGCGUCUUACUAGGGUUUCUGGUUUCUCGACCUUCUUUAUUUCUCGAGGCACGGGAAUUCUCGACCAGGAUUUCUCGAGUUUCUCGAGAAAUUUUGUAAGUUCCAAAAAACACCAUGUUUUGCACCAAUUUUUAGUUACCAUAAAUUGCUCUUAAUUAUCAAAAAAUCAACAACAACCAAAAAUACGAGUAGGUACUAGGUGCAGGCGUGCGCGCCGAUGAUGUGAUAUGCUAUAGUGUAUUGUUUAGGUAUUUAACAAAAUGUAAGUAAGCCAUAUAGGGGUUACUGGGAGUAUAUAAUAAGAAAUGCGGAAGUACUUAAUUAAGACGUGCAUUUUCACAAUCACGACCGGGAGACAACUAAGGAGCGAGCUAUGCGUCGGGCCUUCCGUAGCCGCGCGGAAUGCUGACAACGCAUAGCGGUCCCUAUAAGCCACAAUAGGUAAGGUAUAUUAUUAGGCAAGGAUAUUCGAGUCAUUUAAUUUAAUUCGAUGUGACUAACUUACAGAUUUUUAUUUAUUUAGGAAACAAAUAGUCAUAUACAAAUGUGUUUAAACUAAUAUAUAUUCAAUUGGACCUAUCGUUCCAUUAAAUAUAAUAUACUGAUAUUCAUAACAAGUCGAAAUAAGGCUUGCACGGCAAGGAAAACACACAAAAGUAACUAUUUGAUACAUAACUAACAAAAUACCUAAGUAUCAAUCAUGCUCAUAAACAUAGGUACCUACAUACGUUGUAUAGGUCUAUACAACAAGCCAUUUAAGAGUUUAUAGAAUCAUUUGAUCUAUAAAUACGCGUGGUUUUUUUAGUGGACCAAGACCACGCCACGAAGGUGUGUGUUUUACUAUAUAAUAUAAAUACAUAUUUAACGUAAGAAUGGAGCUGCUAAAAUUGUGGUGUUAUGCUAAAACAAUUAUUAUACAACAAUGUGUAAUGAACAAUUAAUAUAUUGUUCAUGAAUAAAUAAAUAACAAUAAUAUGCUAAUAGGAAUAUAUCAGAAUGAUUUGUAAUAAUAGUAAUUUAGUUUUGUACCUAAAACGAAACGAAUUCUUUUGACAAUUGAGGGUACUAGUUCAAAAUUGGUUAGCUAAGCUAAUAAAUGUAAAAAAAAACAACAUAAAGAACUACACUACAGACACAUCACGUUAUCACGUUAUACGCGUGUUUUUUUACUUAUCACAAGAGAUCGAGUUCUCGAGGCAUUGAGUGUUUUUUCCCGCCUCGACAAGGAUAAAUUUCUCGAGAAUUCUCGAGCAGAAACCCUAGUCUUUACGAGGGUCACCCCGAAAUGAUCCCAAAUAAAAUAAAACUAUGAGCGGAUUAUGCUUAAAUUAUAUUUUAUUGUUUCUCAAAGUAUUCUCCCUCGCAAUUAAUGCAUUUUUGCAUUCUAUUAAACCAGUCAUUAAAGCACUAAUUCCAGUCUGAAGCCCAUGUUGCCAAAAUGGCCGACU
This is a long non-coding RNA of Cydia pomonella (codling moth), 2347 nucleotides long. RefSeq lists it as uncharacterized. NCBI's taxonomy places the organism in Eukaryota, Metazoa, Arthropoda, Insecta, Lepidoptera, Tortricidae. The transcript is spliced from 2 exons. The record is from RefSeq and is a predicted model, not a curated record.